This 463-nucleotide long non-coding RNA is filed under the name Parus major (Great Tit). RNAcentral describes it as "lncRNA (ENSPMJG00000002564.1)". Lineage: Eukaryota; Metazoa; Chordata; Aves; Passeriformes; Paridae. The record is from RNAcentral.
UGCCUGAGCAAAAGAGGUGAGCUGAGGCUACUUAGCCAACCUUCAUUUUUUUCAUUCCCCCUCCCAUUUUCUAACUUGUGAAACUUUUCCUUUGCAGCUCUGUAAAUGUUACUCUAAUGUAAUUUGUGCCUAACAUAUAUAUUAUAGAUAAGUCUAUCUAAUAAGCUGUUGGAAAUAAUAUAUGUAGAUUUUUCUAUUUUAUAUUCUUUUCUGUAAGUCAGCAGAGUAGAAUUCAUUAACUUGAUAUGGAUCUUUUUCAGUCUUUUCAGUAAGCAUUCGCCAAAGAAUGGACUUAGGAGUGUAUUUAUAUGAACAAUUAAGAACAUCAACUUAGCAACUAUACCACCUUCAGCCCUGCAAAGUCUUCACACUGGUGUUGUUGGUGAGUUUCAUAAGGCAGAAAGAGCACCAUUUACUUUAGGCUAAAAUCAGCUCAAGUGAAGACAACCCAUACAAGUCCUGA